GACGAACGCUGGCGGCGUGCUUAACACAUGCAAGUCGAACGGAAAGGCCCUGCUUUUGUGGGGUGCUCGAGUGGCGAACGGGUGAGUAACACGUGAGUAACCUGCCCUUGACUUUGGGAUAACUUCAGGAAACUGGGGCUAAUACCGGAUAGGAGCUCCUGCUGCAUGGGGGGGGUUGGAAAGUUUCGGCGGUUGGGGAUGGACUCGCGGCUUAUCAGCUUGUUGGUGGGGUAGUGGCUUACCAAGGCUUUGACGGGUAGCCAGCCUGAGAGGGUGACCGGCCACAUUGGGACUGAGAUACGGCCCAGACUCCUACGGGAGGCAGCAGUGGGGAAUAUUGCACAAUGGGCGGAAGCCUGAUGCAGCAACGCCGCGUGCGGGAUGACGGCCUUCGGGUUGUAAACCGCUUUCGCCUGUGACGAAGCGUGAGUGACGGUAAUGGGUAAAGAAGCACCGGCUAACUACGUG
RNAcentral lists this ribosomal RNA (468 nucleotides) under uncultured bacterium. RNAcentral describes it as "partial 16S ribosomal RNA". It matches the Rfam family "Bacterial small subunit ribosomal RNA", at positions 28 to 507 of the family's 1533-position model. The record is from RNAcentral.